This is a non-coding RNA of Microcebus murinus (gray mouse lemur), 831 nucleotides long. The record is from RefSeq and is a predicted model, not a curated record. Lineage: Eukaryota; Metazoa; Chordata; Mammalia; Primates; Cheirogaleidae.
UCCAAUAUGGUGGUUCUGUCGGAAAAGGGGGCACACCCACAGAACCCUGCUCUCUUGUGCUCCUCCACAUCUUCUGGAUGGGCACGGGCUCUCCCUUGCCACCCACCCUGGAACCAGGAUCUCUCCCCUAUGCCUCCCCACCCCACUGUCUGUGACAGUCAGCAGGUAAACACACCAAAUGCCAGUGGGCGGGAAGGUCACAAACUGAGGUUGCCCUGCCAGCUGGAAGUGGAAACGCGCCCCUGGUGCUGAAAGCAGGUCACUCAUCACAGAGAACUCUAGCGGUUGUUAUGGUUUGAGGAAGGGGCUACAGACUUCCUGCGCUACUCUCCAGUUUGUGGAGGACACCUAUACACCCUCGUCUGCAAGCCGCUGUGGCAGCUACACUGUCAGAGGCAGGCUGGACUGGGAAUUUGCCUUGGGAGCGCAUUCCUUUCUCCCGAGGCAUGCUUCGCUGCGAGUGCACUCCAGUUGCGGACAGCCAAGUCACUCAGCGCAAGAGUAUGAAGACCCAAGAACAGAAGUUCUGAUGUCCCAGGGCAGGAAAAAAUGUCUGCCCCAUCUCAAGGAACAAGAUAAUUCACCCUUCCUUAGAUUUUUUGUUCUAUUUGGGCCCUCAAAGGAUUAGAUGAUACCUACCCAUAUUGGUUUAUUGGCAAGUGUCCAAACCUUUAUGUGCAGUGUUACAUAAUUAUUUUAUGGACUUUAAACUGGCUGUCAUGUUUUGAUAUCAACACCAUUGUGGAGACAAAACAAUAAGAGAAUAAAUGUUAUCGAACAUCAAGUGAUUUUAUAAAGCUUCAAAAAUGUAAUGUGUGAAGUCCCUCAAGU